GGUUUAUUAAGCAAAUUCUUUACUAAAAGACAUUACCAACUUUAGACUAAAGAUCAGUUUUGAUUUGUUUCUGAAGGGCAUAUGUAUAAGCAUUUCGUCCUAUAAAAUAUACUUUUUUAAGCAGAUAUAAAAUGCACCUACUCCCAGCACCUUUGCAUUCAAUUGCAAUGCCCUAUGCAUAUGUUUCCUUAUUUAUCGCAUGGAAUCUGUAUUGCCGUUGAACUAGUCUUGGGGACUUUGCCUCCUAGCCUUAUCAGGGGCCUUUUAUCCCAACCUUGACAAGGCUAUACCAAAAUAUGAAGUUGGUGUUUGCCUG
Molecule: long non-coding RNA, 316 nt
Filed under: Elaeis guineensis (African oil palm)
Lineage: Eukaryota; Viridiplantae; Streptophyta; Magnoliopsida; Arecales; Arecaceae
Description: long non-coding RNA (EGUI_LNC033573)
Source: RNAcentral